This is a long non-coding RNA of Lytechinus pictus (painted urchin), 6495 nucleotides long. RefSeq lists it as uncharacterized. The record is from RefSeq and is a predicted model, not a curated record. Lineage: Eukaryota; Metazoa; Echinodermata; Echinoidea; Temnopleuroida; Toxopneustidae. The transcript has 3 exons.
UAGGUUGGUACCCACGGAAUUAGGAUAGAAUUCUACAACGACAAGGGGACCAAGAAAUCUGCCACCUAUCUACCUGAAGUCCCUCCUGAACAGGAGUGGACCAAGAAGCAAACUAUAGACCAUCUUCUGCGCAAAGGAGGUUACACGGUACCGGUAAUACGAGACGAGUUCCGCCGAACUAUACGCGUCACCCGUUAUCAGAGCGAAAAACUGACCCAAAGCUAUGCAGAUUACACAGCCUACAACAACGGUCGCCGACAAGCCAACGGACAUAUUUAAUGAUAGCUUUCCGUGUCACCUCUUCCAGGUGGCAGACUUGUUUAACAACUUUCAUCCACUUUUUAUAUGUGUAUUUUUAAUUGUUGUUUUGAAGAUACCUUAGGUUUUUUUUAAAGAUACCGUAGGAAGUCAAAGGGAGUGGAUUGUGAAUUAAUGAACUUGUUUCAAAGAUGAUAGAAAUUUCUUUUUUUUUCUUGUCACCCGAUGGAUUGUGUAGGAGUUUGGACUUAUGUGAUUAGAUAGAUGGGGCAUAUUACUGUUGCUUUUAAUAUACUUCUUAAUUUUUGUUGUCUCAUUCAGAUUUGAAACAGAAUUCUUGUUCCAAAUAAACAAUUCCCGGCCCAAAUGAACAUAUUCCCACAAGAUUACAGUCAUACUGAAUCCCUGGCAGAGGAGCAACCAGUUUGCUUGCAAAGUAAAAGAAUUAUUUCUAGAUUGGUGUUGAUUAAACAUAUCCUACUUUUUAAUUCACAUGUUUUUUCCAAUUGGAUAAUUUCUGUCCUUAUAAAGGUGAUAUUGGCCAAGCCCUUAUGUACAAUUAGAACUGUAGCUAUAAGAACUCAGAUCAACUGAGACAAAAUCUUGUUGGUAAUAGAUAACACUUCUGGAGAAAAAGCCCAUAUCAUUUAGACAGCUUUCGCUGCAUUUUGAUGUGCAAAUGAGCCAUCAAAUGCAACACCAAAUUUCUAAUGGGUUUGAUUCCUCGAUUUCCAUAUUAUAAAAAAAGUUUUUCCUUCAUUUGUUCACAGAUUUUAACAAACUUUCCUAGUUUAUGGUAUUAUUAUUAUUUUGUACACGUUCAGUGGAAUACCUACUGUAGAUAAUAAUGAUUACACCGUCUAUUUGGCAUCAACACCGCGACUCACCAUUUUCCCCCCCAAUGAAGUUACUUACUCAAGGUUCUCUUUAUUAGGAAAUGUUCACUUCCUACGAAAGGUUUUCCAAUAUUUUGUUGUAUAUUAUAUAUUGAAACUCAGGGUGCUGUGUAGGUACUUUGCUUUUAAACCAGGUCCAGGUCUGCUGGGCUUGGUGAAAUGUCAGGUUCGGGCAAUGGGUGUUUGUUUAUGUAUAUUCCCUUGCCCAUUGUCUCUGUUGGAUAAGGGAUAUUAGAUUGGAAACUCAACCAAUUUCUCUUCCUUAUGCAGGGCAUUAUCCCCCCCUUCAGAGCUGAGCUGCUUCCCACUUGUUUUGUGAAAGAAAAUGCCAUCUUUUUUUUUUAUUAAGCCUGUCUCACACUUUGCGAACUGGUGCGACGUUUAGCAUUAAAUAUGAAAGUUCCAAGAAGUAAAAUUAUCUUAUCUAAGGUUUGGCAUGUUGUAAGGAAAACUAAAAUAUUUCAAUUUGCGGCAAGCCCUAUGGUCGGAGUAAAGUCCAAAUCGGCUUCAAGUCGCAGCCGAUGAUGACGUCAUUACGAUUUUGAAUUGAAUUUGUUUUAUUCAUUCAGGGAGGCUCUAACUGGACUGAAUUUCAAUUUCAGUAGUCCUACCACUAUUCUGAACUCUGAUCCGUAAUAUUUUAUUAGUUUGAAUAUCCAUAUCAAAUGUUAUCACAAUUAAUUUGAAAUUUGGGUCGCAACGAAUCGUGUAGUGUGAGGCGGGCUUUAGAUUAAACACUCAACCAAAUUCUAUUCCUAGUGCAGGGCAUUAUCAGAAUAGGGCAUUUUGACUCUAGUUAAUGCAUACCAGUCCGAUGCAUUUCUUCUUUGACAAAUUCCUUUCCAAAAUGAAGCAAGUUCAUGUUUUUUAUUUACAUGUACAUGUGAAAAGAGGAAAGAUUCAUUUUGCUUGAUACCUAUGGUAUGUGUACUUUAUUGCAUGUGACUAUACCAUGGCAUUGGUUAUUUAAUAAUAAAUUUGUCAUUGAUUAGUGCAAAUGGAAUGACGGUUACCAUGGUAAUGGUGCUUUUCAGGCAAUUAAAAAACCUUUUUCUUCUUUAAUUCUUUUUGAGAGAUGAUUCAAAAUUAAUAUCAAAUUCAUUUAACUUUUGUACAAUUCCAACCUCCAAAGUACUUUUAUUAUUGAUAUAAUUUUAUAAUGAAAAAUUGUUGCUGACAGCAUUUAUGAAUCAAGGCCCUUUAAGGUACAGAGUUGAAAAUGCUCAAACUUUUUUAAAAAUAAAAAUUGGAUUUAACAUCCUUUUGGAAAGGAAACUGUCCUUUGAGAUCUGACUUAUGACAGUUGAGACCGUCUGAGCCAAACUUAUCCAUUAACUUUCUUCUCUGAUUUUAGAAGUUUGGAUAAAUUUUUUAGUUUUUCCUAUUUUGCUGAAAGAUGUUUUAUUUUGUUGUGUGAUAUUAGAACAUGAUGUAGCUAUAUUCAAAUGAUCUGGUGGGUGUUUCAUAAAGCUGUUCGUAAGUUAAGAGCGACUUUAAGAACGACUGGUGAACCUUUCUUACGCGCUAAAUAAUCACCAAUGAACAUUUCAUGGUGAAUAUCAUUUACCACAAGAAAGGAUCACCAGUCAUUCUUAUUGUCACUCUUAAGAACAGCUCUAUGAACAAUGGGCUUAGUGAUUGUAAUAAUAAUAAUAUUGGUUUAUUUACCCAGGGAAGCCACUUCAGUUCUGAAAAAUGUUCUCCCAGUGGGCCCUGCUAUUAUUAUUACCCCGGCUUCAGCUGGGCUGCCUAGGCGCUCAAAGCGUUCAAGGAAUUUCUUCCUACCGGGUACCCAUUCACUUCACCUGGAUUGAUCUUAGGGUCGAGUAACAUGACUGGUUGUAUUUAUCAGUGGGUGCCAUCAAUCGUAAAAAUCAACUGUAUGAUUGGUUGCUUAGCUUUGUGUAGUGAGACCUUGAAUAAAUGGAAAAGGGGCUGUAGAAUGAAGAGAAAAAAGUUUUCAAACCGCAUUUUAGAUUAAAUUUUAAAUUUUUGAAUCUUUAAAUUUUAUUUUGAUUUUUAUGCUUUUCUAUCUUUCUUUCAGCGUCAAUGUCUACAACUACACUCUGUGUAGAAGUUUGAUCAUUUUUUUUACAUUGAGAGAUCAUUUUGUUUCUAUAGCUUGCUGGACUUUAUUUGGGGUGAUUGCAUGUAUUAGUGUUGUCGCUUGUAAAAACAAUGUGGCCCUUCAAAGCAGAGUGUCUGUUUGGGGAUGAAAGCCUAUCACACAUGAAUGAUGAUGAUGAUUAUACAUUUACAUGGAUCGCUUCUUAAAUGAUACAUGUAUGGCAAUUUAUUUUAAUCAGGCACAUGAUCCAAUGAUAUUUGGUCUAAUUCCAAGGUUGUCUAUUAACACUACUGCGGCCAAAGACAGUUUUGUAUCAGUUAGGUAUAACUUCUAUAUGAUCCCAUCAUCACUUUUAGUCUCGGGGACCUAUAACAUUACAAAAUGUAGAUGCAUGUAGAACAGUGCUUCUCCAGUGGUUGCCAGUUGCCCACUCUAUGGCUGCAAGGUCAGCCAACAAUAUUUUGGAUAUUAAACCAAAAAAAAGAAGAAAAUAUCUAUGUUCUUUGAUGCAGCAUAACUCUUCUAUAACAUCACAUCAAUCGAGCCGAAAAUCGUCACACUUAGUCAAGCUCUCCUUCAGCCUUUUCGAUGCUCUCACCAUGGUAUUUUUAAAAAGAAAGUCCCCUUUCUUGAAAUGCUGCCUUGUAAAUAAGCAAUGCUGUGCUUCAAAUAAUUACCACAUUUACUUUCAUCGUAUUCAUAUUUAUUCUCAUUACGGAUAUUGUUGGAAUCCUCCCAAGGGAGCGGAGAAAUUGCAUAUUCUGUUUCUGGGCAUGUCAGGAUCUGAUGAAUGGGGUAAUGAUAUAUUUUUGUAAAGCUCGUGUAAGAAAUUGAAGAAUGAAGUUGGACCUGCAAAAUAUAGAUGAAAAAAAAAAGCUGAAAGGGGGGGGGGGUCCUUAGGUGAAAAAAAAAGGUUGAGAAGCACUAGAUUAUUUUUUAUGAGAUUAGACCGAAUUAAAAUAAAGCCCGGCGUUCACUACACUAUCCAUUUGGAUCCGAUAUGGACAAAUAAAAAUCCCAGUCUAUUUCAAGUCCCUUGUAUAGGAAUAAAGCAAUUUAAAUUCCAAACUGUAGUGACUUCAUCAUUGGCUGUGAUUUGAAGCUGAUUUUGACUUUAAUUUGACCAUAAGGCUGCCAGUAAAAUAGAAUUUUGAUUUUGGUUAUUUAGGACUUCAAAUCAUUUACUGCUAAGAACUGUACUAUUUACUGUAAAAUAUGAUUUGUGAAAAAAAAAAAUCGGAUCAUAAAGUGUGUGGCAGGCUUUAAUAGGCAAAGUGGAAUUAGGCCAAAUUAAGACUAAACGUCACGUGAGGAGUCUUCAUAGUGUCAAACUUCUUCAACCACUGAAACCCUCUCUCCCCCAAAUCGAUCAAUUUCAUCAAUCAAUGGAAACUCAUCAUUUUCCAUUUUAUUUAUAUUUCUUGUGAUUUCAUACCCAUACCUAUACAUUCCAAACCAUGUAAUGCGCUUCUGUACAGUGUUUAGACCUAUCUAGGAUAUUCCUAUCCUUAAUGUACAUGUAUUGCAGUGAUAUAUUCUCUACUGGUGCUUACGUGAGUUGUGAUUCAUUCUUUUGCAAUUUGGCGUUUUACAGGAUAUUCUUUGCUCAACACUAACAUCAGGACCAUGUUUUACAAAGAAUUGUGAUUGAUCCAAUCGAUCUCAACUAUGGAAAGCCACUUGCAUUCUUCCUAUUUUGCACAAACAAAGCACACAUGUACAUGUAUGUAUACAAGUACAAGAAGGGGGAAAACAUUGCAGGCUUAUUUUAUUGUUAUUCGCUGUGAGAUAACAUAUAAGGAUCUCUGAAUAUUAAGUUUAGGUUUACAUGCCUAUCAAUUACUAUGUCUUGCCCUUGUACAUAUGUGUUUUAGUUCAUUUUAGGUAAUAAGCAUGUAUUCUGUUUCUUUUUUAUUACAUUUUAGUAUGAUUUUUCUUUAUAUCGGUAUACUUGAUAACAAAGAGUUGCCUUAUUUCUUUACCUGUGUUAGUUAAUAUAUAACUGUGUGUUUGAUAUAUUUAUGUAUUCCAUGUUUCUCACUAACUGUUUUUCUAUGAAAAUUUUACACUCUGCUUACUAAUAAUGCGAGCGGUGGUUGGUUGUUGCAUUGCGGCCGGGUCAAAGGUCGCCGUGGUAUCUGGUGAUGGGUCAUGUCUGCUAUUCGAUGAAUAUUUUUACUUGUGAUGGAUAAUUUUUUUGACUGUUGGAAUAUGCCACAUUGGUAGUAGAUAUGUGAUGUUAUAAUACUUCUAUUUAUUUCAACUAUGCUGUACUAGUAAUUUCUCACCAUCAAAUUUAUGCAAAUUCAUGAACGAUCGGAGACCUGCGUUUGGCUUUGAGCUGAUCCGAAGUUUAAAGGAGAUGACUUCAAAAUGAGCAUAAUCCUCUUCCUUCAGUUGAUUUUAAAGGACUCUUUUUCUUUCAAUUUUAUUCCCCUCAAGUGGGAUGUCUUUUAAAAGGUUGAUCUGUCUAGAGGUCGUGAUUUGUAUGCUGUUUAAAGUAAGGUUGUGUGAUGUUAACAGAGUUGAUAUUGCCCGCUCAUACAUGAUGUUGUAAGCCGUCAAGAAAACAAGGAUGUGAUUAUGAUAUUGAUGUCAAUCUCGACCUUCCUGGGGAAUGUUUCACAAACAUCUAAGUGUGACUAAGUCACUUAUAAUUUCCAGCAUAACUUUGAGGCCGUUCUCAUUACGCUUUCUAAAACUAGUUUACUGGAAACCGAUUCAGGAAACCACUUGUGAGAACAGCCUCUUUGAUCACACUUAUAUGUACAUGUACUCUUUGUAAACCCCCCCCCCCCCCUUUUAAGAGGAUCGAGAUUUGAUUAGGAUGAAAAGUAAACAUACUUCAUGUAUAGUUUAUAACAGAAUUAUUAGGGGGUGUUUCACAAAAAGUUGAGUGCAACUUCAAAUUGCACUGAAACGAUGAUGAAAAGAGCACAUUGAUGCAUGAAUGGAAGCUUUGGUCUCGAAAACCCUUCAUUACUUUGUUUUUGUGACAAUAUGUACACAUCGUGUAUGAGCAAUGGGCAGGGUUCAAGUUAUUCAAGUAGUAGAUUUCAUGAUGUUUAUAUGUGAUUCCAUCUUGCACCAUGUUAGCUAUGUACAUCUAGAUAGGUUUUUAUUGAAGAGUAUAACCAUUGUUACUAUUAUACAAUAUUUUCAAACGGACGAGAAAAGGAAAAAAAAAACGGUGAAAAAAAAAAUGUUGAUGUAUUUACAGGAUGUAGUUUGAGAAAAAACAUGAUGAUAAAUGCAUGGUUAUAAAAACUGAAA